GUGCCAGCAGCCGCGGUAAUACGUAGGGCGCAAGCGUUGUCCGGAAUUAUUGGGCGUAAAGAGCUCGUAGGCGGUUUGUCGCGUCUGCUGUGAAAGCCCGGGGCUUAACCCCGGGUGUGCAGUGGGUACGGGCAGACUAGAGUGCAGUAGGGGAGACUGGAAUUCCUGGUGUAGCGGUGGAAUGCGCAGAUAUCAGGAGGAACACCGAUGGCGAAGGCAGGUCUCUGGGCUGUUACUGACGCUGAGGAGCGAAAGCAUGGGGAGCGAACAGGAUUAGAUACCCUGGUAGUCC
This 292-nucleotide ribosomal RNA is filed under the name uncultured microorganism. RNAcentral's name for it is "partial 16S ribosomal RNA". It matches the Rfam family "Bacterial small subunit ribosomal RNA", at positions 505 to 796 of the family's 1533-position model. The record is from RNAcentral.